GACGAACGCUGGCGGCGUGCUUAACACAUGCAAGUCGAACGGAAAGGCCCUGCUUGUGUGGGGUGCUCGAGUGGCGAACGGGUGAGUAACACGUGAGUAACCUGCCCUUGACUUUGGGAUAACUUCAGGAAACUGGGGCUAAUACCGGAUAGGAGCUCCUGCUGCAUGGUGGGGGUUGGAAAGUUUCGGCGGUUGGGGAUGGACUCGCGGCUUAUCAGCUUGUUGGUGGGGUAGUGGAUUACCAAGGCUUUGACGGGUAGCCGGCCUGAGAGGGUGACCGGCCACAUUGGGACUGAGCUACGGCCCAGACUCCUACGGGAGGAAGCAGUGGGGAAUAUUGCACAAUGGGCGGAAGCCUGAUGCAGCAACGCCGCGUGCGGGAUGACGGCCUUCGGGUUGUAAACCGCUUUCGCCUGUGACGAAGCGUGAGUGACGGUAAUGGGUAAAGAAGCACCGGCUAACUACGUG
RNAcentral lists this ribosomal RNA (468 nucleotides) under uncultured bacterium. Its description in RNAcentral is "partial 16S ribosomal RNA". It matches the Rfam family "Bacterial small subunit ribosomal RNA", at positions 28 to 507 of the family's 1533-position model. The record is from RNAcentral.